GGCAGUGGUGGCCCAGUGGUUAAGCCUCUGUGUUAUUAAUCAGAAGGUCGGGGGUUCAAGCCCCAGCACUGCCA
Molecule: non-coding RNA, 74 nt
Organism: Pangasius djambal
Lineage: Eukaryota; Metazoa; Chordata; Actinopteri; Siluriformes; Pangasiidae
Source: the annotation of a GenBank genome assembly